AAUCAACGCUGGCGGCGUGCCUAACACAUGCAAGUCGAACGCGAAAGCCCCGCAAGGGGUAAGUAGAGUGGCAAACGGGUGAGUAACACGUGGGUGACCUGCCUUCGAGUGGGGGAUAACGUCCCGAAAGGGACGCUAAUACCGCAUGACAUCCUGCUUUUGAAAAAGCGGAGAUCAAAGCUGGGGAUCGCAAGACCUAGCGCUUGAAGAGGGGCCCGCGCCUGAUUAGCUAGUUGGUGAGGUAACGGCUCACCAAGGCGACGAUCAGUAUCCGGCCUGAGAGGGCGGACGGACACACUGGGACUGAGACACGGCCCAGACGCCUACGGGAGGCAGCAGUGGGGAAUUGUUCGCAAUGGGCGCAAGCCUGACGACGCAACGCCGCGUGGAGGACGAAGAUCUUCGGGUCGUAAACUCCGGUCGAGCGGGACGAACGCUUCGCGGAUGAAUAAUCCGCGGAAUUGACGGUACCGCUAAAGGAAGCCCCGGCUAACUCCGUG
RNAcentral lists this ribosomal RNA (500 nucleotides) under uncultured bacterium. Its description in RNAcentral is "partial 16S ribosomal RNA". It matches the Rfam family "Bacterial small subunit ribosomal RNA", at positions 29 to 507 of the family's 1533-position model. The record is from RNAcentral.